UAAUACGUAGGAGGCGAGCGUUAUCCGGAUUUACUGGGCGUAAAGAGAGCGUAGGCGGCCUUUCAAGUCGGAUGUGAAAUCUCCCGGCUUAACUGGGAGGGGUCAUCCGAUACUGUUGGGCUUGAGGGCAUCAAGAGGAGGUGGAAUUCCCGGUGUAGUGGUGAUAUGCGUAGAUAUCGGGAGGAACACCAGCGGCGAAGGCGGCCUUCUGGGAUGUUUCUGACGCUGAGGCUCGAAAGUGUGGGUAGCGAACAGGAUUAGAUACCCUGGUAGUCCACACCGUAAACGAUGGACACUAGGUAUAGGGAGUAUCGACCCUCUCUGUGCCGAAGCUAACGCCUGAAGUGUCCCGCCUGGGGACUACGGCCGCAAGGCUA
This 377-nucleotide ribosomal RNA is filed under the name uncultured Chloroflexota bacterium. RNAcentral describes it as "bacterial SSU rRNA". It matches the Rfam family "Bacterial small subunit ribosomal RNA", at positions 521 to 896 of the family's 1533-position model. The record is from RNAcentral. Lineage: Bacteria; Bacillati; Chloroflexota.